UAACAAGGAUUCCCCUAGUAACUGCGAGUGAAGCGGGAAAAGCUCAAAUUUAAAAUCUGGCGGGUUCCCCGUCCGAGUUGUAAUCUGGAGAAGCGUUUUCCGUGUCGGACCGUGUACAAGUCCCUUGGAAUGGGGCGUCAUAGAGGGUGAGAAUCCCGUCCAUGACAYGGACUACCGAUGCUUUGUGAUACGCUCUCGAAGAGUCGAGUUGUUUGGGAAUGCAGCUCAAAAUGGGUGGUAAAUUCCAUCUAAAGCUAAAUAUUGGCGAGAGACCGAUAGCGAACAAGUACCGUGAGGGAAAGAUGAAAAGCACUUUGGAAAGAGAGUUAAACAGUACGUGAAAUUGUUGAAAGGGAAACGCUUGAAGUCAGUCGCGUCCGUCGAGACUCAGCCUUGCCUUUGGGCCUGGUGUAUUUCUCGGUGGACGGGUCAACAUCGAUUUUGAAUGGCAGAUAAAGGUCUGGGGAAUGUGGCACCUCCGGGUGUGUUAUAGCCCCUCUCCGUAUAUGCUGUUUGGGAUCGAGGACCGCAGCACGCCCUUGUGGCCGGGGUUUUACCCACGUACCGUGCUUAGGAUGUUGGCAUAAUGGCUUUAAGCGACCCGUCUUGAAACACGGACCAAGGAGUCUAACAUGCCUGCGAGUGUUAGGGUGCAAAACCCUUGYGCGUAAUGAAAGUGAAAGUUGGGACCUCUGUCGAGGAGGGCACCGACGCCCGGCCCUGAACUCUUGUGACGGUGCUGCGGUAGAGCAUGUAUGUUGGGACCCGAAAGAUGGUGAACUAUGCCUGAAUAGGGCGAAGCCAGAGGAAACUCUGGUGGAGGCUCGUAGCGAUUCUGACGUGCAAAUCGAUCGUCAAAUUUGGGUAUAGGGGCGAAAGACUAAUCGAACCAUCUAGUAGCUGGUUCCUGC
This 911-nucleotide ribosomal RNA is filed under the name Oxyporus corticola. Its description in RNAcentral is "eukaryotic LSU rRNA". It matches the Rfam family "Eukaryotic large subunit ribosomal RNA", at positions 66 to 961 of the family's 3401-position model. The record is from RNAcentral. Lineage: Eukaryota; Fungi; Basidiomycota; Agaricomycetes; Hymenochaetales; Schizoporaceae.